GCCCGGGUGGUGGAAUAGGUAGACACAAGGGAUUUAAAAUCCCUCAGCUUUUUGCUAUACGAGUUCAAGUCUCGUCCCGGGCACCA
RNAcentral lists this transfer RNA (86 nucleotides) under Candidatus Hoaglandella endobia. RNAcentral's name for it is "tRNA-Leu". It matches the Rfam family "tRNA". Rfam says of the family: Transfer RNA (tRNA) molecules are approximately 80 nucleotides in length. Their secondary structure includes four short double-helical elements and three loops (D, anti-codon, and T loops). Lineage: Bacteria; Pseudomonadati; Pseudomonadota; Gammaproteobacteria; Enterobacterales; Enterobacteriaceae. The record is from RNAcentral.